RNAcentral lists this ribosomal RNA (429 nucleotides) under Chloroflexota bacterium. Its description in RNAcentral is "Chloroflexi bacterium partial 16S ribosomal RNA". It matches the Rfam family "Bacterial small subunit ribosomal RNA", at positions 355 to 776 of the family's 1533-position model. Lineage: Bacteria; Bacillati; Chloroflexota. The record is from RNAcentral.
UGGGGAAUAUUGCACAAUGGGCGCAAGCCUGAUGCAGCCAUGCCGCGUGUGUGAAGAAGGCCUUCGGGUUGUAAAGCACUUUCAGCGGGGAGGAAGGCGUUAAGGUUAAUAACCUUGGCGAUUGACGUUACCCGCAGAGGAAGCACCGGCUAACUCCGUGCCAGCAGCCGCGGUAAUACGGAGGGUGCAAGCGUUAAUCGGAAUUACUGGGCGUAAAGCGCACGCAGGCGGUCUGUCAAGUCGGAUGUGAAAUCCCCGGGCUCAACCUGGGAACUGCAUUCGAAACUGGCAGGCUAGAGUCUUGUAGAGGGGGGUAGAAUUCCAGGUGUAGCGGUGAAAUGCGUAGAGAUCUGGAGGAAUACCGGUGGCGAAGGCGGCCCCCUGGACAAAGACUGACGCUCAGGUGCGAAAGCGUGGGGAGCAAACAGG